Molecule: ribosomal RNA, 534 nt
Filed under: Clostridioides difficile
Lineage: Bacteria; Bacillati; Bacillota; Clostridia; Peptostreptococcales; Peptostreptococcaceae
Description: bacterial LSU rRNA
Rfam family: Bacterial large subunit ribosomal RNA
Source: RNAcentral
ACCACAGAAGGUAAUAGUCCUGUAUGUUAAACGAGAAGACUUUAGAUAUGAUCCAGAGUACCACGGGACACGUGAAACCCUGUGGGAAGCAGGAGGGACCACCCUCCAAGGCUAAAUACUACCUAGUGACCGAUAGCGUAUAGUACCGUGAGGGAAAGGUGAAAAGAACCCCGGGAGGGGAGGGAAAUAGAACCUGAAACCCUGCACUUACAAGCUGUGGAAGCACAUUUCUUGUGUGACCGCGUACUUUUUGUAGAACGGGCCAACGAGUUACGUUAAGUAGCAAGGUUAAGCACUUAAGGUGCGGAGCCGUAGCGAAAGCGAGUUUUAACUGAGCGUUCAGUUACUUGACGUAGACCCGAAACCGGGCGACCUACCCAUGAGCAGGAUGAAGCGAAAGUAAAAUUUCGUGGAGGUCCGAACCCACGAGCGUUGAAAAGCUCGGGGAUGACUUGUGGGUAGCGGUGAAAUUCCAAUCGAGCCCGGAGAUAGCUGGUUCUCCCCGAAAUAGCUUUAGGGCUAGCCUCAAGGUGA